RNAcentral lists this ribosomal RNA (214 nucleotides) under Caryophanales bacterium. RNAcentral describes it as "Bacillales bacterium partial 16S ribosomal RNA". It matches the Rfam family "Bacterial small subunit ribosomal RNA", at positions 616 to 829 of the family's 1533-position model. The record is from RNAcentral. Lineage: Bacteria; Bacillati; Bacillota; Bacilli; Caryophanales.
CAAGCGGCCAUUGGAAACUGGGAGACUUGAGUGCAGAAGAGGAGAGUGGAAUUCCACGUGUAGCGGUGAAAUGCGUAGAGAUGUGGAGGAACACCAGUGGCGAAGGCGACUCUCUGGUCUGUAACUGACGCUGAGGCGCGAAAGCGUGGGGAGCGAACAGGAUUAGAUACCCUGGUAGUCCACGCCGUAAACGAUGAGUGCUAAGUGUUAGAGG